GCGGACUCCGCACAGCUCCACUAUCCCCUGGCAGGCCGCAGUAACGGCCACGAACCUGCUCCACCUCCUGCGACGGAUGCCAUGCGAUUCUCCUAUCCGCUGACAACGGACGCUGCUCCACCCCUCAUAACAGAUUCCACGUGGCGGGCCGAGGUGAUGGCCACGCGUCUGCCCCACUACCUUUCGCAAUCAAUUCCCCUGACCAUGGGCGGCCCACUACCAGGUGGUUACAAACGUCGCCAUCAGUCCGU
Molecule: long non-coding RNA, 251 nt
Filed under: Elaeis guineensis (African oil palm)
Lineage: Eukaryota; Viridiplantae; Streptophyta; Magnoliopsida; Arecales; Arecaceae
Description: long non-coding RNA (EGUI_LNC057515)
Source: RNAcentral